CAGCUUUGUUGGAGCUGUGGGGACCUGAGGCUGCAGCACAGGCUGCUUUGUCUAAUUCACUGGAAAAAGGAGAUAUCAGCGGAUGCAGAAAGAUGAUAUGUGAGACGGGAAAAGAAAGCAGAGAUGACAACAGGACUCACGGGCCACCGCCUGAAAGGGUGCAGAACGGACCUCACCCUGAAGGUAUGGAUGAGCUUCUCAUCAGUCUCUUACUGUCUCAUCAUCGUGUUGACUGGCUGGCAUGCCUGAGGACAUAAGACAGUCAGACACAAACACUGGCAGGCCUGCAGGUUGACUCCUCAGUGGUAUGGCAGGUCUCACUGUGUCUUAUGAGGUCGUGACUCCCAACCAAGACUGUGACUUGGAGAAACAGGACUGAGGAGCUGCAGCAGAACAUGGGAUGCCCCUUUUUAUUUUUGUUUUGUUUCACUUUUUUUUCUUUGUUGAAUAGGUGGAAAAUUCCUCCUUCUGUACUUGCCGGAGCAAAGCAAAACAUUUUCUUGGCAACAAAUGAGGCAGAGUUUACAUAAGAAACAUAAUGUGACUGUAACAAAAAAAAAAUCUGAAAGCUCUGGCAGUUCUCUGUGUUGUGUUGUAACUGAGGAAACAUUAUUCUUUCUUCUCUCUUUGUGAUUGUCGUCUUCUACGCCACUGAAAAUGUGAUUUAUUUUAAGGGCAGCACAUUUUCUUUGUGAACAUAUUUUUAGAGUUAGCGCAGCCACUUGUCUGCAUUAUCUGUAUGUCCCACAUUAUAUAUGUUCACUAUGAGUCUGGUACCAUGUGGAACCAAUUGUUUUUUAAUA
Toxotes jaculatrix (banded archerfish) is the source of this 803-nucleotide long non-coding RNA. RefSeq lists it as uncharacterized. The record is from RefSeq and is a predicted model, not a curated record. Lineage: Eukaryota; Metazoa; Chordata; Actinopteri; Toxotidae. The transcript is spliced from 4 exons.